RNAcentral lists this long non-coding RNA (216 nucleotides) under Eutrema salsugineum. RNAcentral's name for it is "long non-coding RNA (ESAL_LNC000868)". The record is from RNAcentral. Lineage: Eukaryota; Viridiplantae; Streptophyta; Magnoliopsida; Brassicales; Brassicaceae.
GAAUAAGGUGGAGUGGAGCUUGGUGAGGUGGAAUGAGGUGAAGUGGGUGGUGUGGGGUCGGGUAUCAUCUCAACGACCAUCUGCCGGGGUCAGGAGUCACACGACCGCGGCAAACUGGUGCUUGGCCGCGGUCGAAGUGGUGUUUCCCGCGGUCAGAACACCUGCGACUGCGGGGUCUUAAUAUGCAGCCUAUUCCUGCUUCUCAUUGGUUCCUGC